RNAcentral lists this ribosomal RNA (199 nucleotides) under uncultured Lactobacillus sp. RNAcentral's name for it is "partial 16S ribosomal RNA". It matches the Rfam family "Bacterial small subunit ribosomal RNA", at positions 335 to 526 of the family's 1533-position model. The record is from RNAcentral. Lineage: Bacteria; Bacillati; Bacillota; Bacilli; Lactobacillales; Lactobacillaceae.
ACUCCUACGGGAGGCAGCAGUAGGGAAUCUUCCACAAUGGACGAAAGUCUGAUGGAGCAAUGCCGCGUGAGUGAAGAAGGUUUUCGGAUCGUAAAACUCUGUUGUUGAAGAAGAACAUGCGUGAGAGUAACUGUUCACGUACUGACGGUAUUCAACCAGAAAGCCACGGCUAACUACGUGCCAGCAGCCGCGGUAAUAC